Molecule: ribosomal RNA, 460 nt
Filed under: uncultured bacterium
Lineage: Bacteria
Description: partial 16S ribosomal RNA
Rfam family: Bacterial small subunit ribosomal RNA
Source: RNAcentral
CCUACGGGUGGCAGCAGUGAGGAAUAUUGGUCAAUGGGCGCUAGCCUGAACCAGCCAAGUAGCGUGAAGGAUGACUGCCCUAUGGGUUGUAAACUUCUUUUAUAUAGGAAUAAAGUGAAGCAUGUGUGCUGUUUUGCAUGUACUUUAUGAAUAAGGAUCGGCUAACUCCGUGCCAGCAGCCGCGGUAAUACGGAGGAUCCGAGCGUUAUCCGGAUUUAUUGGGUUUAAAGGGAGCGUAGAUGGGUUGUUAAGUCAGUUGUGAAAGUUUGCGGCUCAACCGUAAAAUUGCAGUUGAUACUGGCAGUCUUGAGUACAGUUGAGGUAGGCGGAAUUCGUGGUGUAGCGGUGAAAUGCUUAGAUAUCACGAAGAACUCCGAUUGCGAAGGCAGCUUGCUGGACUGUCACUGACGUUGAUGCUCGAAAGUGUGGGUAUCAAACAGGAUUAGAUACCCUGGUAGUC